This is a long non-coding RNA of Melanotaenia boesemani (Boeseman's rainbowfish), 311 nucleotides long. RefSeq lists it as uncharacterized. The transcript is spliced from 2 exons. The record is from RefSeq and is a predicted model, not a curated record. NCBI's taxonomy places the organism in Eukaryota, Metazoa, Chordata, Actinopteri, Atheriniformes, Melanotaeniidae.
UGUAAACAAGAGGGAGAUGAGAAAAGUCAAGCACUGCAGUUGGGAUUAUUACUGUCAAAAAUUAACACAAAUUUGGUUCUAUUGUGAGUAUUUCAAGGGGCUCUUUUGUAAACAAAAGUUCUGUUAUACAAACUAGCAAUCUACCAAAUAGCAAUUUGUGUUGGAAAAUAAAUAAAUAAAUAAAUCAUGCACCAAUUUAAAAUAUGUUUCUUGUGAUUACUGGCUCAACCAUCCAGCUAUUGAACAGAGUGAGCAUGGUGUCAUCCACAUGUAUAUGGAUCCCCAUGUAACCCAUGACAAACAAAACAGGU